GUUUCGACSGGMGGAUAAAUGCUMCAGGAAUGUAGCUCCCUUCKGGGAGUGYUAUAGCCUGGAGUAUCAUGCGCCCAGUCGGGACCGAGGACCGCGCUUCGGCUAGGAUGCUGGCGUAAUGGUUGUAAGCGACCCGUCUUGAAACACGGACCAAGGAGUCUAACAUCUAUGCGAGUGUUUGGGUGAUAAACCCAUGCGCGGAAUGAAAGUGAACGGAGGUGGGAGCCCUUUUCGGGGGGCGCACCAUCGACCGAUCCAGAUGUCUUCGGAUGGAUUUGAGUAGGAGCAUAGCUGUUGGGACCCGAAAGAUGGUGAACUAUGCCUGGAUAGGGUGAAGCCAGAGGAAACUCUGGUGGAGGCUCGCAGCGGUUCUGACGUGCAAAUCGAUCGUCAAAUCUGGGUAUAGGGGCGAAAGGCAAGCUAACCAAUUGAAUUCUUUUCUUAUGACAAUCUGCUAACAGUUUUACAGACUAAUCGAACCAUCUAGUAAAUCGCUACUAGAGAUACUGAACGAAAAGGGGCUGUCAACCGCCUCAGUAGUCCCCCGUUGCUGGGGGGCCACAUCGCCUGUCUUCGGGAACACCUUAUUUCGGUUACCCGUACUGAGCACCGGCUCAGUCACUGACUAA
Molecule: ribosomal RNA, 629 nt
Filed under: Aspicilia vagans
Lineage: Eukaryota; Fungi; Ascomycota; Lecanoromycetes; Pertusariales; Megasporaceae
Description: eukaryotic LSU rRNA
Rfam family: Eukaryotic large subunit ribosomal RNA
Source: RNAcentral